UACGGAGGGCGCGAGCGUUUUUCGGAAUCAUUGGGCGUAAAGCGCGUGUAGGCGGCUUGGUAAGUCGAGUGUGAAAGCCCGGGGCUCAACCCCGGAAGGUCGCUCGAAACUGCCUGGCUAGAGUCCCGGAGAGGAAGGCGGAAUUCCCGGUGUAGAGGUGAAAUUCGUAGAUAUCGGGAGGAACACCAGCGGCGAAGGCGGCCUUCUGGAUGGUGACUGACGCUGAGUCGCGAAAGCGUGGGGAGCAAACAGG
RNAcentral lists this ribosomal RNA (253 nucleotides) under uncultured bacterium. RNAcentral's name for it is "partial 16S ribosomal RNA". It matches the Rfam family "Bacterial small subunit ribosomal RNA", at positions 524 to 776 of the family's 1533-position model. The record is from RNAcentral.